Chinchilla lanigera (long-tailed chinchilla) is the source of this 435-nucleotide long non-coding RNA. RefSeq lists it as uncharacterized. The transcript is spliced from 2 exons. NCBI's taxonomy places the organism in Eukaryota, Metazoa, Chordata, Mammalia, Rodentia, Chinchillidae. The record is from RefSeq and is a predicted model, not a curated record.
UGAGUCUCAGGGCACGGGGCGGAGCGAGCGGACUACGGAAAGGAAAGGGACGACCACACCCGCUGGCCCAGGCCCUAGGACCGGCGUCGUCAACAGGGUCCCGCUAAAUUGUCCAGACUGGACUCAAGCUUGUGAUCCUCCUGCCUCGGUCUCCCGCUGCGCUGGCAUCACAGGCCUGCAGCACCACAUCUGGCUCAGCCCCUUCUUUAAAACGGAAAUAGUGGAGCUGGGGAUUUAGCUCAGCGGCACAGUGUUUGCCUGGCAAGCACAAGGUCGUGAGUUUGGUUCCCCGUACCGGAAAAAAAAAAAAAAAAGAAAAAGAAAAUAAAAUAAAACGGAAAUAGUAAAAUUCCCCUCCCUGAGUUGCUGGUGUAUUACUUGCGUAACAGAGCUCAGUAACUUUUUAAGGGAAAAAAAAAAAAAAAAAAAAAAAAA